AUUGAACGCUGGCGGCAGGCUUAACACAUGCAAGUCGAGCGGGGUGAUGGUGCUUGCACUAUCACUUAGCGGCGGACGGGUGAGUAAUGCUUAGGAAUCUGCCUAUUAGUGGGGGACAACAUCUCGAAAGGGAUGCUAAUACCGCAUACGUCCUACGGGAGAAAGCAGGGGAUCACUUGUGACCUUGCGCUAAUAGAUGAGCCUAAGUCGGAUUAGCUAGUUGGUGGGGUAAAGGCCUACUAAGGCGACGAUCUGUAGCGGGUCUGAGAGGAGGGUCCGCCAAGCGGGGACGGCGACACGGCCCAGACUCCGACGGGAGGCAGCAGUGGGGAAUAUUGGACAAUGGGGGGAGCCCUGAUCCAGCCAUGCCGCGUGUGUGAAGAAGGCAUUAUGGUUGUAAAGCACUUUAAGCGAGGAGGAGGCUCUUUUGGUUAAUACCCAGAAUGAGUGGACGUUAUUCGCAGAAUAAGCACCGGCUAACUCUGUGCCAGCCGCCGCAGUAA
RNAcentral lists this ribosomal RNA (503 nucleotides) under uncultured bacterium. Its description in RNAcentral is "partial 16S ribosomal RNA". It matches the Rfam family "Bacterial small subunit ribosomal RNA", at positions 30 to 523 of the family's 1533-position model. The record is from RNAcentral.